This 197-nucleotide ribosomal RNA is filed under the name uncultured Pseudomonas sp. RNAcentral describes it as "partial 16S ribosomal RNA". It matches the Rfam family "Bacterial small subunit ribosomal RNA", at positions 336 to 525 of the family's 1533-position model. Lineage: Bacteria; Pseudomonadati; Pseudomonadota; Gammaproteobacteria; Pseudomonadales; Pseudomonadaceae. The record is from RNAcentral.
CUCCUACGGGAGGCAGCAGUGGGGAAUAUUGGACAAUGGGCGAAAGCCUGAUCCAGCCAUGCCGCGUGUGUGAAGAAGGUCUUCGGAUUGUAAAGCACUUUAAGUUGGGAGGAAGGGCAGUAAGCUAAUACCUUGCUGUUUUGACGUUACCGACAGAAUAAGCACCGGCUAACUCUGUGCCAGCAGCCGCGGUAAUA